UCAAAAAUUAAUUGGCAUUUCAGUAAUCCUUGGGCUACCCCGAGGCCUGUUUAUUAGCAGUUGAGCAAGCCCAACAGAUGGGUUUUUCCCUUGUUAGACGGAAUUCUCACUAAUAGAAAAAAGGGAGGUGGCAACUGUUUUUUUAUUUCACAACCCUUUUUGGACCAUCCAAGGAUCAAUUUUUCUACACAAGCUCUCAGAACUACAAUCCGAACAUCCCACCCUCAAAAUCCUAAAUAGCAAACAUACCAAACUCAAACUAAGGUUUCCUAAUCCCACUAAAAUCUCACAAAUAAAAACAUAACACAACCUCAGGUAAUAAACAGAAAAAGCAUACAAAUCGAAAAGUACAAGGUCCUUUAGGAGUUGCUUUCGCCGAAGCUUCCAAGAUCCACCAAAGUUCCUGGCGCAAUGGGGCUAAGAGCUCAGCCUGCUGUCAAAAUAUUCAAGAGAAAAAAUAAGCUUUCAAAGGUUGGUCCUUUAAAUGAAACAUCUUCCUGAUUUUUAAACAUUCAUAUAACACUCAUAUAUUUGUUUCCAUUAUUAUGAUUGUUGAUGUCCUGUGCCAUAUUCAUCUACCAUGCAACUGUUAAAACCCUUUUCUAAUCUAAUGAUCAUCACAACUAAGUGGUCCAAAUAACUCAUUUAAGUAGUAAUGAUAUUACAAAAAAAAAAUUGUUCUCACUAAAUAAAAAACUUGAUUAUUCUCACUAGAAAACGACUCAAUAUAUGAUGCCAAAAUCAAGAAAAUAUGGGGUGCUUUGUUUAAAACAGGUUGCUGAAAUUUUAUUAAGGCAUGUAAAAUAAUCAAAAUUUUAACAAAUAAGCUAAUACGGGUGUACUAAAAUUAAUAGGUUAUUUUCAUCUACAUUCGUGUGUUUACGACUAGGAAACGGUAAUGAUAGCCUGACUUUCUCUAUUUCAGCCCUUUGGCCAAAAAAUCAAAGUAAUUUUAGACUUUGUUAUACUUUCCUGGGUAUUGUCUUUCCUUCGCUAUGACUUUCUCGAGCAAAGUUAGAUUCGCGCUCUCUACAUUAGAAAAUCAAAAUCAAAAUCAAUCUCCUUUUCACUAACUAACAAAACAGGUCUCUUUAAAAUAGAAAUAAGGACGUAAACUUUUUUUUUAUUUCGCUUGAAACCACCUUCGUCAUUUUGGUUCCACCGUCAAUAGGCCCUGCGCCGCGGGGGGGGGGGGGGGGGGGCACGGGCGGGGGNNNNNNNNNNNNNNNNNNNNNNNNNNNNNNNNNNNNNNNNNNNNNCCUAGUCAGCGAUCCGAAAGAAAAUAAAGCUCAAAAGAUCAGUAAUAAAAAACAAAGGAAAAGAGUAGUAAGGAUGAUUCGUUACCUUUGUUGUCACUACUGUCACCGUAGAGUGCAAGGAUCUGGAUGAGAAGGGGCGACGGCAAUGUGGCCACCGCUGCUGUGAAAGGAAGAAAGUCAGAGAAGAGGAGAAGGAGCGGGACAAGAAGAAGAGAAGGAGGAAGAUAAGAAGAGAAAAAGUGGGGCGAAGGGAAGAGAGGCAGAGAACAAGUGAUGAGUGGGGCAGUGGCAGCACCAGCGCCGCCGGCGAGAGGAAGUUGAGAGACUUGAGGAGAGACAGAGAGGGUCGGAGAUUAGGGUUUAGAGAGUUGUGAAUUUUGAAUUAAGAAGAGCUUUUAUAUGCCUAAGUUGGGUUAGGAUAAAAUUACGUCACUACACUUAAUUUCAGUUCAGUAGCUGUAAUUCCUUCAAGGGUUGCCCUCCUGGAUCGUAUUUCAAGUGAUCGAACCGAUUUCCUCACUCGACGACCCUAGUCUCGUUCACACGAUUCAGAUUUUCUGUUGGGCCCAACUUGAGCUUGAGCCCAAAUUAAUUCCAAUUCAACAUAAUUAAACCCAAUGGAAAUCCUUUAACAAAUUAAUAAACGAAUUGGGAUAAGUUUAAUUAGCUUAAUUAAUGUUACUGUUAAAAUCGUUUUCUAAUCUAAUAAUCAUCAAAACUAAAUGAUCCAAAUAACUCAUUUAAUCAGUAACAAUAUAACAAAAAUAAAGACUGUUCUCACUAAAUAAAAGUUUGGAGGAAAACAUGAUUAAAAGCGAUUAAAAUGACCAACUAUUGCUUAGUUUGACACCAUUUACAUCUUGAACCCAAAGACUAUAAAACGACCCAAAAUAUGACGUCAAAAUCGAGAAAAUAUGGGGUUCUUUGUUCAAAACAGGUUUCUGGAAUUUCAUUAAAACAUGCAAAAUAAUCGAAGUUUUCAACAAAUAAACUACAACGAUUGUACUAAAAUUAAUAAGUCAUUUUGAUCUACAUUUGUGUCUUUAUGUCUAGGAAUGGGUAAUUAUAGCUUGACUUUAUCUAAUUCUGUCCUCCGGUUAAAAAAUUGAAGUAAUUUCAGACACUGUUUUACCUUCCUGAGUAGAGUUUUUCCUCUACUCAAACUUUCUCGAGCAAAGUUAGGUUCGCGCUCUCUGCACCUGAAGUCAAAAUAAAAAUCUAUUUUCUUUGUGUUAACCGACAAAAGUGGAUCUCUUUAAAAUAGGAAUAAGUGUGUUUCACCUCGUUUCGGUCCCAUCGUCGGCAUGCCUUGCAGUGAGGGUCGAGCCAUCGUCCGUGCAUCCUUCUUUUUUCCUCUUUAGUCAACGGCCCCAAAGAAAAUCGAAGUAAAAAAGCUAAAACGAUCAGUAAUUAAAAAUAAAUGGAAGAAGCUUGUACAACCCAGAAUUUCGUAGAUCGGUGUUGCAUGUCAGUGGAGGACUCGCCGGAGGCGCGGGUGACAUGAACCCCGAAACUUAUUAUUUUGAAAAAAGAAAAGGAAUAGAGGAGUAAGGACGAUUUGCUAUCUCUAUCGUCUCCGCUGUCACCGUAGAGUUGACAGAGAUGAGAUGGAGAUACGCGGCAGCACUACCACCAUCACCGUGAGACGAAGAAGAAGAAGCAGAAGCAAAGGAGGGAAAAAGAGGUAAGAACAAAAGAAGAAGAAAAGACGAGGAGCCAAGAGAAGAGAGGCAGAGAAGAAAGUGAUUAGUGAGGCGACGGUGGUGCUACUACUGCCAUCGAGAGGAAGUUGAGAGAACAUAAAAGAGAGAGAGAGGAUCGGCGGCUAGGGUUUAGAGAGUUGUG
This 3104-nucleotide long non-coding RNA is filed under the name Linum usitatissimum (flax). Its description in RNAcentral is "long non-coding RNA (LUSI_LNC007358)". Lineage: Eukaryota; Viridiplantae; Streptophyta; Magnoliopsida; Malpighiales; Linaceae. The record is from RNAcentral.